Long non-coding RNA from Equus caballus (horse), 2837 nucleotides. Lineage: Eukaryota; Metazoa; Chordata; Mammalia; Perissodactyla; Equidae. The record is from Ensembl.
UGGCCCAGGCUUGGCCCCCUUGGCGCAGCAUCAGGCGCCCCAGAUACCUGACACGUCUCAUUUGAUCUCAGAUUCAGCCUGCCCUUUCUGUGGCCCCCCAUGGUGGGCGGAGAGGGGGCUCCCCGGGGCCUCCCUGCCCCUGUUCGGACCCCUAGGCCAACCCCGUCCGUCCAGCCCUGGCCAAGACAUCUGACCCCAGUGGUCUGGCCCCGGCCUGCUCCAGGACCAAAGCUUUGAGUUGCCCCUACAGCCACAGGUGGUCGAGCGGCAGGCCCCCAGCCCCGGGCGGCUGCCUCCAGCCCGGCCCCUGGCUCAGAGUGGGGAGAACACGGCUGAAGAAGAAGGGCUGGGUGUCACUUUUCCUCCUCCAUUUGUCUUGGAGGCUGACACGGGAGAAAACCCCAAAGGACCGAGUGCGCCCUCACAGUUUCACCACAAGUAUCCUGACCGGGCGUCUGGUGCCGAGCUGAUAGUGCAGGCUCCGGGCCGCAGCCCCGCCGGAAACCGCGCUGCCAGCGGUUGGGGGCCGCAGGCCCAGACAGGAAACGCCCCCAGGCGUACUGCCGGGCCCAUGGCCUCGUCACAGGCCUGCUGCCUUGGACCAGGCCCGGCGCCAUUUUGAAGCUGGGCUGGGCUCUCGCCCUCUGCCCUGAGAUCUGGAGACUGGUCUGUUACCUGACUGGUCAGGCUUGGGAGGCGACAGGGAGGGAAGAGGGAACCUCCAGACUGGGCUACACCUGAACCACAGCCUCUUCCUACCAUGGCCAAUCCCUCCAUGGUGCCUCCAACCCAGCCCUUUAAAUUCUCAGCUUCCAUCAGGCUGCUGGCUCCGUGUUUACUGUGACAGGCUGAGAACUGAACGCAGGGAACUCAGAAGUGAACAAAAUAGUGGUAGUAUUGGGCAUCGCGAAAAGCCCACAGAAUAGGGGCCAUCGUCAAGAGGAGUAAUCACAGGGUCUGAAGGAUUUGCAUGUGGGGAUGAUAGGAAGGAGGACCCGGGUUCCAGCCCCCAUUUUUGACUUCCGUUUAGGAGAUGGAAUCCAGAAAGAUUCGUUUUGGGGUUUUUUUUCUGCCUUUUCUCCCCAAAUCCCCCCAGUACAUAAUUGUAUAUUUUAGUUGUGGGUCCUUAGUUGUGGCCUGGGGGCUGACGCCUCAGCAUGGCCUGGUGAGCGGUGCUGGGUCGGCACCCAGGAUCCGAACUGGCGAAACCCCAGGCCCCUGAAGCAGAGCGUGCGAACUUAACCACUCGACCACAGGGUGGCCAGGAAAGAUUCGUUUUGCUGUGAGAAAGACAGGAGCCCAUUUAAAUGCUGAUGGGAAGAAAAGAGGUCACAGGGAGGGAAAGAUCGCAGGUCCAGGAGAGAAGGGGCCAGUAGAGAGAGGGAGUCCCGAAGAACAAGAUUGGAUGGGAUGGUGGGCUGAAGGGGGAGAUCUCAAGGGAGAGCUCUGAGCCAGUGGUGCCUUCCACCGGCACUGGGAAGGAAACCGCAGAAGCCAGUUCAAGCUUCACCUCCUGGGCAGGCUUCCCUAUCCCCUGGGAGGCCCCUGCCUUACACCGUUUGGCACUGUGCUCUCUGAAGUGCAGUGGACUGCUUGCCUCCCUGGACUGGAGCUCACCCUCAGCAGAGUUAAAGAGGCAGCACGUCAACGCCUGUGAUUAACAAUAUCUUUACUGUGUGUCAGGCACUGUGCCUAAAAGUCACCAGGGAUACGGUCCUCUGCAUGGUGCUACCACAGGAACCAGCUCAUCACACAGCUCUUCCGCAACCUGCUUCUGUGUCCUGGCUUUUGAGGACUUCUCUUCUGGAGAGCACUGUUGUUUUCUCAGUCUCAGCCCCAGCUCCUGUCCCCCUUAGGGCCUGGCACAAAAGCCCCCAGGCCUGGUGCCUCUCUUCACCAGGUUGGAAGCCCAGACCAAGGCCUGGGUUUUGUGCUCAGCUCAAGGCCUGGAGUGGAAAAGGUGGGUCUGUGCAAACAGUGAGGGAGUGUUGGAUGAAUGCUAGACGAACGCGUAGCCUCUCACUCACUGGCACCCAGAGCUCCUCCAGGGAGCCCAAAUUUUCCUGCAUGGUGAGGCUAGGUCACAGGGGUGGGGUGCUCGGAGCCAGGCGGGAGCCUGGCAGGAGAUCAGACAGGCUCUGCAGUGGCUGGACCCAGGUGAGGGCCUCCAGCAGCAUGGGGGCUGGUGGGGCAUCGUCAGGGAUGGGGACUGAGAAGGAGAUCCCUUUGAACUUGACAGGGCUAGAGUGCAGUGAUUUAGGGGCUGAGGCUGGGCUGGGGUAUCUAUGCACAUCCAGGGCACAGGGUGGGAAAAGGCAGCUCCUGGAAGGUAUCAUGUUGGGCUGUGACCUGUGUGUGUGUGUGUGUGUGUGUGUGUGUGUGUUGGGAGGCAGCCUGGGGCAGUUGGAAGAGGGUGGCAUCAGAACUGCCCGGAAUUGAAUCCUGAUUCUCCAGGUCACUUAAGUUCUUUCCACCUGUUUCCUGACUCAAACAAUGGGCCAAAUAAUACCUGUGUUAUGAGGAUGAAGAAUGUGCGAGUAAACAUCCUGGCACAAAGAAUGUCUGUGCUUGAUACAUAGCAGUUGUGAUUUAUGUGUGUGUGUGUCGGGGGAGGACUUGAGGGCCAUUUUCAGGCCUGUGAAUUGCUAGUCCUGGCAGAGCUGGUCUUGAAGACCCAUCCCGGUGUGGCCGUCCUGUGAUUCCAGGGGCACUGCCCACCUGUUCCUCAGGGUAGCCUGCUGUGGGCCUGGCACAGGCAGCAGCCCUGCCCACAGGGACUCCCAUCUGACAGACAUGGACACAGGUACCCAGAGAGACGGCCUUACCUCGGGCCCACA